UUAUUUAUUCACCUGUUUCUCAAUCAAUAGCUGUUUUCCCUCAUUCUCUCUUCUUUCCAAAAUCACUUCAAAGAAACCCUAAAACCAUUUGUCUGCGGUUCUGUCUUUUGGUUUACAUUAUUUGGAGUUCAAUCGAUUUUGAUAGGAGUAAUUUAAUGGUGACGAGCGAAACGGGAUCCAUAGUUUUUGAAGGGGUUUGCUUUGUGAGUGAUCGAAUCCUAUGAAAUUAGAGAGGGGACAUGAAGACAACCAAGGAGAAUUACCACCUAUCUCAGAUAAUGGGAUUAGGGUUUUUGUUGUUGCAGAUUGUUAGGGCUCAAAUUGGACAUGAGAGGUGGAGAUGGUUCUUUUGUUGAUAGAUCUGUAAGUUGAUUGAAAUUGUUAAUUUCUAACAUCCAUCUUCUUUCUCUCUGUACUGAGUUAUCAAUUUUAUCUUCUACCAAUUCAAGUUCAGGUUCUACAUCUCUAUAGAUUAUCAUUGAUUAUAUUGUUUUAUCCAUUUUAUCUACAAUGGUUCUACAUCUUUACAUGUGUUGAUGUAUUUUUUUUCUUUUCUUUGUUUGCCCUAAUUUGUCAUGUUGAUGUUUGUUAAUCUAUAUCUUUAUUUUACAACAAGAGAAGAAGUUGGAAUCUGCAAAAAUGAAGUGAAGUGAUUUAGAUCUUGUGGAUGAAAAUGAAUCUUUACACGAGGUUGGACCUGAAGCAAGUCACAUACUUGUGGAGCAUUAUGCUAUUACAUCUAGAAGACGGUAUAUUCAAUAACUGUAACCGGAUGCAUCUGUUUGAUGUCGUUAACCAAUAUUGUGCCAUAUUUGCUGAUAAUACAUCAGAAAGUAAAGAGAAUUAUGAUGGUGGACUUUCUUUCUGCUGGGCCAUGCAUCAGAUUGCCUCUCACCUUAAAACUCUCAAAGUUUUGCUUCCAAAGAUACUAAAGGCGGAUCAUUAUCCAAUAUAUUGGAUUAGUUCAUGUAUUGUGCUAUGGGGCUUCGUUGGGUUGAAUUGGAUUUUUAUGGCUUGCUUCCGCCUCUAUUUUAAGAGUUGCAUAUGGUAGAGUGCGUAUCAAAAGUCUGGCACGUUGUGAGGCUUACACACAUAAUCCACGACUUAAAAAAUGUUCCUCAUUGUAUAUAUGGUCUUAGCUCUUCUCAAAUGGACAUGUCAUGACAGAAGAUAACCCAAUAAGUUAGCAAGCAUAAAAAGUGCCACAUAGUUCUUCUUGAUUUGCAGCUUCUUUUAAUCAAAGUACUGGAAUUGUGGUUCUUAGUUGGUUAAUGUUUAUUAUUUACUUGUGUUAGUAUACUCUUUUUUGUAGGAAACGGUCACGUAAUUACUUGAAUCAUGCAGAAAUUUGGGGUUUACCUGAAUGAAUGAUAUGGGUCCUGUAAAAUACUAUUUUAAUUGUGAGCAUGUAUCGUGGUUGACGUAGAGCAACUAGAAGACCUAGAAGUGCUCCACCCGAUUUGCUACUGUUGAGUGAGAUAUCACUAUGAUGUGCCAGAUCGGAGACUUGCUCAACAUAUUGACAAAUGAAACGAAAACGUGUGGUUAAAAAUCAAAUAAGCUCUAGAAAAGGUGAAAGAUACCAUUUGCCUAUGAAUUAGCAAAAUGGUUAGGUGUCAGAACUCCACAAGUUACUAUACCUUCAACUUUCUUUUCACCAGAUUUAUGGUCCCCGCAAACAUCAUACAUUCUUAUUGUUUUGUAACUUUUGCAGGCUAGAGUCAUUCACAAUUGUAGUCCUGAGUGGUUAAAACACAAAUUGUCAUUAUUUGUGAAAUAAAAUAAAAACCAAACUGAGAGACCAUGCUACUUUUAUUAGUCAAAUUGUCAUUAUUUGUGUGAACGAGGCACCAUGGUAUUAUUAUUUUUAGGGCUAGCGAGCUGCUUAUUUGUUGGAUCGGUAGAAUUAGAAAGUGCUUAUUAUUCUUGGGUAAAUUGAUAAUUCUUAUUGUGGAUAUGGGUAAGAUCAUCAAUUCCAAUUACAGUCCAGCUGAUGCAAGGACCUUGGUUCAACAAGCAAGGAAUGAAGCUGGGUUAAAAGCACCCUUCUUGGAACUUGGCUAGGAAUUGCCAAGAUUAGUGACAGUUUCAACAAGUUUGGUGUUCAGAUUCGGGAUCUCUUUAGCAGGAAGCUAGGAGAAUGUUUUUUUUGGAAAGACAACUGGUUUGGUAACCCCUAUUUUAAGGAUCGUUUCCUCAACUUGUAUACCAUUAAAGCCAGUAAAAAUAUUGUUCGGUGUCACAAAGGAGAAGCACUGAUGUAUCAGGGAACAUUAGUCUCUCUUGGAACCGGCCUUGGAAACAUCUCAGUUUGGAUACCCCCUCGGAUAUAAAUGACUUGUCUGAAAUGGUGAAAAGUUGUGGUUCUUCCGAAGUUGAUGAAUGGCUAUAGUGUCUUGACCCAAAUAACAUGUUCUCGGUGAAAUCGGUUCAUGCGAUUCUUCAUAGUCAUGAUUCAGUUAUUCCUUAAACUUCAGACUUCUAUUGGUUAAAAUGGGUGCCUGUGAAAGCUCUUUGCUUCAACUGGAGGCUGCUCCUGAAUAGGAUUCCUGUCAGUCUUAAUUUGAGCAGGAGGGGUGUGUCGAAGGUCUCAAAUGUUGUUCUAGCUUUUAUGGCCAGUUUAGAAGUGGCAUCUUCAUUGAAAGGGUUCCGGUAUGUUCUAGCUUCUACCGGCUGCUGAUGUAAUAAAUUUGUGCUUUCUACUGAAAGGGGCCAGGUCCUUUAUGAGCUGUCUUUUUUUUUUUUUUUUGAAAAUCACUCUUGUGAAAGCCACUCUUGUGAAAGAAUAGGAGUCGAAAGCUGUGGUUGACGCUGACGUUAGCAAAAUUGACCAAAUGCUCAUUGAUGGCCAUACAAAAGUGGAUAGUUAGCAUAUGUUGUUUUUUUUUUAUUAUGAUGUAAAAUAUGAACUAGGGCUAACUGCAAGAAACAUAAACUAUGUACUUUCUCUUUAUUUUACAUGAAAAUUAA
Helianthus annuus (common sunflower) is the source of this 2970-nucleotide long non-coding RNA. RefSeq lists it as uncharacterized. The transcript is spliced from 10 exons. Lineage: Eukaryota; Viridiplantae; Streptophyta; Magnoliopsida; Asterales; Asteraceae. The record is from RefSeq and is a predicted model, not a curated record.